GCAUCAACGCUGGCGGCGUGCUUAACACAUGCAAGUCGAGUGCGCAGCUUCCUGUAGCAAUACAGGGAGUGGGCGCACGGCGCACGGGUGAGUAACACGUGGGCAAUCUGCCCUUCGGUGGGGAAUACCCCCGCGAAAGCGGGACUAAUACCGCAUGACAUUCCGGUGGCUUCGGCCGCCGGACUCAAAGGCCGCAAGGCCGCCGGAGGAGGAGCCCGCGCCCGAUUAGCUUGUUGGCGAGGUAACGGCUCACCAAGGCUUUGAUCGGUAGCUGAUCUGAGAGGAUGAUCAGCCACACUGGAACUGAGACAUGGUCCAGACUCCUACGGGAGGCAGCAGUGGGGAAUCUUGCGCAAUGGGCGAAAGCCUGACGCAGCGACGCCGCGUGGGGGAUGAAGCUUUUCGGAGUGUAAACCCCUUUCGACCCGGAAGAAUGACCCGCAAGGGUUUGACGGUACGGGUAUAAGAAGCCCCGGCUAACUACGUGCCUGCAGCCGCGGUAAGACGUAGGGGGCCAGCGUUGCUCGGAAUUACUGGGCGUAAAGGGUUCGUAGGCGGUGCGGCAAGUUGGGAGUGAAAUCUCCAGGCUUAACUUGGAGGCUGCUUCCAAAACUGCCGUGCUCGAAUGCGGGAAAAGGCCAGUGGAAUUGCAGGUGUAGCGGUGAAAUGCGUAAAUAUCUGCAGGAACACCCGUGGCCAAAGCGGCUGGCUGGACCGCAACUUGACCUGA
This 730-nucleotide ribosomal RNA is filed under the name uncultured bacterium. Its description in RNAcentral is "bacterial SSU rRNA". It matches the Rfam family "Bacterial small subunit ribosomal RNA", at positions 26 to 749 of the family's 1533-position model. The record is from RNAcentral.